AUAGUACUUCCUUCGUCCAGAAAUACUUGUUGGAGAAAUGGAUGUAUAUAGAUGUGGUUUAGUUCUAAAUACAUCAUUUUUAUCCAUUUCUCCGACAAGUAUUUUCAGGCGGAGAGAGUACACA
Molecule: non-coding RNA, 124 nt
Organism: Triticum aestivum (bread wheat)
Lineage: Eukaryota; Viridiplantae; Streptophyta; Magnoliopsida; Poales; Poaceae
Source: Rfam